RNAcentral lists this long non-coding RNA (530 nucleotides) under Homo sapiens (human). Its description in RNAcentral is "HSALNT0050834". Lineage: Eukaryota; Metazoa; Chordata; Mammalia; Primates; Hominidae. The record is from RNAcentral.
GUGGGACUGGGCCCAGGUUCCCACCGCAUCGUCCGCCUCAGCCAGAACCUUCUGGUCCCCGCCCCCGGAUAGGGACCCAGGAGGCCCAAGCCCCUUCUUCCGGCGGGGAGUGGGAGCCUCUCGCACUCUCGGCAGCUCCAGACCCUCGGGAUCUCCGUUUACAGUUCAGGACCUCAGCUGCACUUUGGCGCUAACGCCCUGUUUCCCAGAAGCUGUUGAUUUCUCCAAAAUAACCAUCAAAAGUCUGAUGAGAUAAAGAGCACACUGGAAACUGGGAAUGCUUUGAUGGAAAUUCUGCAAGUAAUGGACGCUCUGGCUUGCCUUGGUGACUGUCAAAUAAAAGCAAGUAUAUACUCAGUUCUCUCCACACUUCCCACAUACUUACCAAGCAAAAAGCCCAUGAAAAAUCUGCAGCAGCCUCUGAUAGCAGGAAGACAUUAUGUGGUACUCCUGAACUUUCACUCCUGGUCCAUCAACUACACCGUGAUUCUCAGCAGCUAAACACUAAAAAUAAAAAUGAUUUUAGGACA